CACUAAUAGCUCUGUAAGUCACUCUGGAUAAGAGCGUCUGCUAAAUGACUGAAA
Molecule: non-coding RNA, 54 nt
Organism: Salmo salar (Atlantic salmon)
Lineage: Eukaryota; Metazoa; Chordata; Actinopteri; Salmoniformes; Salmonidae
Source: Rfam